RNAcentral lists this ribosomal RNA (521 nucleotides) under Acanthodoris pilosa. RNAcentral's name for it is "SSU rRNA". It matches the Rfam family "Eukaryotic small subunit ribosomal RNA", at positions 1322 to 1810 of the family's 1831-position model. Lineage: Eukaryota; Metazoa; Mollusca; Gastropoda; Nudibranchia; Onchidorididae. The record is from RNAcentral.
AUUCCGAUAACGAACGAGACUCUGGCCUGCUAAAUAGGCCGGCGGUUUCCGUGCGACCCGGCGUCUGGCGACUCGUCGCCGGCGUUCGGUGCUCGUGCGCGCCGUCGGAUCUUCUUAGAGGGACAAGCGGCGUUUAGCCGCGCGAGAUUGAGCAAUAACAGGUCUGUGAUGCCCUUAGAUGUCCGGGGCCGCACGCGCGCUACACUGAAGGGAUCAGCGUGGCCUCCCCCCUGGCCCGAGAGGGCUGGGAAACCCGUUGAAUCCCCUUCGUGCUAGGGAUCGGGGCUUGUAAUUAUUCCCCGUGAACGAGGAAUUCCCAGUAAGCGCGGGUCAUAAGCCCGCGUUGAUUACGUCCCUGCCCUUUGUACACACCGCCCGUCGCUACUAUCGAUUGAGCGGUUCAGUGAGGGCAUCGGAUCGGUCGCGGCCUGGGGUUCGCGCCCCGGCGCCCCGCGCGCCGAGAAGACGCUCGAACUCGAUCGCUUGGAGAAAGUAAAAGUCGUAACAAGGUUUCCGUAGGU